RNAcentral lists this ribosomal RNA (263 nucleotides) under uncultured bacterium. Its description in RNAcentral is "partial 16S ribosomal RNA". It matches the Rfam family "Bacterial small subunit ribosomal RNA", at positions 793 to 1055 of the family's 1533-position model. The record is from RNAcentral.
GUCCUGGCUGUAAACGAUGAGAACUUGGUGUGGCGGGUAUCGACCCCUGCCGUGCCGAAGCUAACGCAUUAAGUUCUCCGCCUGGGGAGUACGGCCGCAAGGCUGAAACUCAAAGGAAUUGACGGGGGCCCGCACAAGCGGUGGAGCAUGUGGUUCAAUUCGACGCAACGCGAAGAACCUUACCUGGGUUUUAACUGCAGGUGACAGCCCCUGAAAGGGGGUCUUCCUUCGGGACACCUGUAGAGGUGCUGCAUGGCUGUCGU